Long non-coding RNA from Acipenser ruthenus (sterlet), 760 nucleotides. RefSeq lists it as uncharacterized. The record is from RefSeq and is a predicted model, not a curated record. The transcript is spliced from 3 exons. Lineage: Eukaryota; Metazoa; Chordata; Actinopteri; Acipenseriformes; Acipenseridae.
AUUCACUGUUUAAACAAAUGCAGUAGAUGGAGGACAGAAGUGAAAGCGGUUACCGAUUCGGCUGUUUUAGCAUCUUAAGUCAAACAGAUUUCCUGUUCAAGUUUUUGGUAAUUGGAAAUGCAGGGACUGGUAAAUCAUGUUUGCUUCACCAAUUCAUUGAUAAGAAGUAUGCCAUGCCGUUUCCCGUCCGGGUCAUUGAGUUCAGGUACCGUAGCUCCGUCCCUUUUCUAGCCGGCUGACUUCCACCUACCCACGGGAAUAAAUUGUCAUGUCUUUUAGUCCAGGGUACUCUGUUCCCUUUACUUAGUGCCCUCACAGGUCGGGAGGGAGAUCUAACACCAAGCAUCAGGACUGCCCAGUCCCUGACCACAUUCCGGCACCUCCUUAAGACUCACCUCUUCAAACAGCACCUGUAGAACUCCUCUGUUUGUAUCCUGGGACACUAUCACCCUUCAUGUAAAUGUGCUUUAUUUUGCUCUUAUCUGCCCCUAUUUUACUGCAUUUAAUCCUGUACUUCAGAAUACUGUAAUCUGCCAAGUGCUUAACCUGUAGUACUUUGUAUUUAAUCAUAUCCUGAUGUAACUAUCACUAUUUAAUCAUACCCUGAUGUAACUAUCACUAUUAUCUGCUGUAUUAUUGAAUUGUGGUUGUCACACUUAUACUUUGCUUGAACAAAAGUUAUUGUAUUUCUUGCUCUUAUUGUAUUACUUGUAUUGUAACACUUGAAAUGUAUUUGCUUACGAUUGUAAGUCGCCCUGGA